This 531-nucleotide ribosomal RNA is filed under the name uncultured eukaryote. RNAcentral's name for it is "SSU rRNA". It matches the Rfam family "Eukaryotic small subunit ribosomal RNA", at positions 21 to 550 of the family's 1831-position model. The record is from RNAcentral.
UAGUCAUAUGCUUGUCUCAAAGAUUAAGCCAUGCAUGUCUAAGCACAAGCCGAUUAAUGGUGAAGCCGCGAAUGGCUCAUUACAACAGCCAUAGUUUCUUAGAUCUUACUUUUCUACUUGGAUAACUGUGGUAAUUCUAGAGCUAAUACACGCAAAAAAGCUCAGACCUUACGGAAUGAGCGCAUUUAUUAGAACAAAAACCAAUCGGGCUUCGGUCCGUCAUUUGGUGAAUCUGAAUAACUUUGCUGAUCGCACGGUCUUCGUACCGGCGACAUAUCUUUCAAAUGUCUGCCUUAUCAACUUUCGAUGGUAGUUUAUGCGCCUACCAUGGUUGUAACGGGUAACGGAGAAUAAGGGUUCGACUCCGGAGAGGGAGCCUGAGAAACGGCUACCACAUCCAAGGAAGGCAGCAGGCACGCAAAUUACCCACUCCCGGCACGGGGAGGUAGUGACGAAAAAUAACGAGACGGCUCGCUAUGCGGUCCGUCAUCGGAAUGGGUACAAUUUAAAUCCUUUAACGAGGAUCUAUUG